This 2494-nucleotide long non-coding RNA is filed under the name Capra hircus (goat). RNAcentral's name for it is "lncRNA (ENSCHIG00010030266.1)". The record is from RNAcentral. Lineage: Eukaryota; Metazoa; Chordata; Mammalia; Artiodactyla; Bovidae.
GUACUCUCUCUCCUGGUACUCUCUCCCGGUACUCUCUCUCCUGGUACUCUUUAUGUACUCUCUGUCUGUACUCUCUUUCCUGGUACUGUCUCUCCGUCCUCUCUCUCCAUACUCUGUCCCCUUGUACUCUCUCCCUGUCCUCUCUGCUGCUGCAGCUGAGCCUGUGCCAGGAGGAGGACCCAGACCCUGCCCUCGGGCAUCCUGUGUUGACAAGGAGAAGGGGGCAAAAUGUUGGGCUGUUGGCCCAUGGGUCUGGCCACUCCUGCCUCACCUUCUCCACUUAAACUCUGCCCUCUGGCCAUGCUGUGCCCCACCUGGAACACACCUUUGCUUCUCACCUGUCUUUCAGGUCUCAGCCUGGAUCUCCAGCCAAGGUUCCCUGAGCCCCCCUGGAGUGAAAGUCCCUACUCUGCACUCUUGCAUGCUCCGUGCAUCCUCAUCUCAGCGCUGAUGACACUGAGCAUAAAGCCCGGUGUCUAACCCUCUCCUACUGACUCAAGAACUGAGUGUCCAGAGCUUCGGGGAGGAGUCCAACCAUGCGGUUGGUGACAGUGCCCUUCGGGCCUGCUCCAGAAGCACUGCCAGGAACAGCAGGCACUACCCCCCAGAGCAAGGGCACGUCGGGCAUCCAGAAACACGUGGCCCCCAGUGCAUCCAGCCUCAGGCCCCUGGGGGCGGGUGGGGGAAGAAGGGGCCCAGCCAGGCCGGGUGCAGCUCCUGCGGCCCUGCACUGGGACAUCGCCCUGGGGGCAGGCUGCCCCCAGCCCUCCUCACUUCCUCGGCCGCCCUGGAAUCAAACUGCUACUUCUCACAGGAUGGGGCUGGGGGGCUCGCUGGACGGCAGUGAUGAUCUCCAGGCUCAGGGUCCAGCCUGGACCAGGAGAGCACAGACAGAGAAGGGCCAGACAGAGGGGUGCACAGCACACGGGGCACGGCCUCCCUGGGAAGAGGGUGGAGAACGUGUCUGGAAGGCCUUGGUGGGCCUGUCCUGGCUAAGGUCUAAAGAGGGACAGAAAUUUGUCAAGGGAGCCAGGCGGGGAGCCGGGCAGGGUGGAGGGAGGAGGUGGACAGCACAGCUCAGCCGGAGGACCCGCCCCGGGCAGGGGGGACGGAGGUCCCCUACGGGCAGCUGGGAGGGCUGUGUCCCUGGAGGUCGGAGCAGUGCAUGGUCCACACACUGACCCCGGAAGCACCUGCGUCAGCCACCCGUGCAGCUGCCCACCAAGGCCCUGACUCCUGCCAGCAGUCCAGCCCUGACUUCCAAGAACAGAUGUGCGUGUGAGGGGCAUGGAACAUGACCCUCUUCUCUGACCUCAGCUCCCCCACUGGCCUGACCUCACGACUCCAGCCACACUGUCUCUGGGCAGACACUCCCACCUCCAGACUCCAAUCCUCGAGAUCCUUCCUGCCUGGGGCUCCCCAAGGAGGGGCCGACGCUGGCAGGGGCCAGCACCUGCAAACAGUGGAGUUUAAUAAAUACUCGUUAAAUGAAUGAAUGUAUCCAGAAGAACUUGAAGCCAGGCCCACAGUCACCGUUAACUAAGACAGGUCCUGGGGGUCUCAGAGCAGCCUGGAGGCAGGGUGUCCUGGGAGCCCAGCACCUCGCCCGUGGGUGCCCCGGCCUCCCUUCCACCCCAUGCCUUGGGUGAGCAGGAGCAGCAAAGCACCGCAUGUCCCUGGGACUCAUGGGCCCUGCCCAGCCCUCCAGCCUGAGGCUUGUAAUCCAUGCGGGGUCUGCGCCUGAAGGGACAGGUCUCUGGAACUGGGGAGCCCCCGGCAGGCAGCAGGCAGGGGAAGGAACUGGUCAGGUGGCCGCGGUCAGGGCAGCCAGACCCUAGAGAUGGCUGGGGUACCCAGGAAGGGCAGGGCAGGCCAGGCUUCCCAACAGUGCUGGACGCCCUGUUCCUUCCAGCCCCUGGCGGGGGGCCUCUCUGAACCUGUUUGGGGCAGCAGAGCAGGCCAGGCUCAGUACAGGAGCUCGGCCUGGGGUCCGACUUGCUGGGAAACCCUCAGAACCCUACCCUGGGAAGAAGGGCCUGGCCAUGCCCACUGGUGGAAGGUCUAUCCCUGCCGCCUUCCUGCAGGAGGAGAUGUUUCCCUGGCUCUUUAGGAAGCUAGAGGAUGUGGUCCUUUGCAUGGAGCUGGGAGAGACGCUGAUUUUGGGGCAGGGGUGCCUGAAUCUCAUGAGCCAAGGGCAGCCCUGCGGGGCUCCUGAGCUGGGGAGGGCCUGGGGCGUGAGGCUGGUCAGGUCCUGUGAGCACGGCUUGCGCUCUCCCUUCCCAGGACCCGCCCAGCUGAUCUGGGGCUCAGGAGAGUCCUAAGUGGUGGGAUCAGGGACGCACACUUCCUGUCCAGGAGCCACCCUGUCCAGGGCCCCAGCCAGCCACCGGCUCUGACACACACUCCCUCAGGAAAUCCUGGCUCCGGGGCGGCCCCUGGCUCAGGGAGGCUGGAGCCCCGGGGGGUGAGCCUCUGGGGAAACAUCCAGUGGUCU